This 1003-nucleotide long non-coding RNA is filed under the name Coffea arabica (coffee). RNAcentral describes it as "long non-coding RNA (CARA_LNC006770)". The record is from RNAcentral. Lineage: Eukaryota; Viridiplantae; Streptophyta; Magnoliopsida; Gentianales; Rubiaceae.
GAGUACUAAGGUCAAUUUGGGUUGUUAGCUAGCUUACAAUUUAAGACGAUCUUGACUAAGAAUAACAAAUCACUAAUUCUUGGGUCGUAUAUUACACAUUUGGCAGUUUGUUUAGACGUUCUUGACCCUCAUGACCAUGAUUUACAUUUGGCUUGUGACAUAGACUUUUUAGAUGUGAUUUGUCCUGAAAAGAUGGGAGUCGUGGAUGAGAUGGAUGACAUAUUUCGAUUUACACUUUCGGGGUCCACUCGUACACCAGUUCGUAGUCCCUCUACGCGUGCAGGUCCCUCAUUUGCUUUUGGAGUUGCCGAUGAUGAGGUUGGCCCUUCUACUUAUGUGCCUCCUCUGCCAUCAUCUUUUGAUGUUGAGUGAUGACAUCUUUGGACACAAGUCCACCAUAUGGACGAGUGGGUGACCAAUAUUGCAAGUCAAGUGGCCCAGAUUUCCCAGAAUUUGGUAGCCUACUUCCCCCAUGUGGGCUUUACAUCGCCUUUUCCACCUAUUCCAUAUCUACUUGAGACCUUCCUCUAUGUUUUUUAGGGAAUUUUCAUUGUCCCAUCUCUUUUAUUGGUUUUAUUGCCUCCGUUGAGGACAAUGUCUGAUUUAGGUGUGGAAGAGGGAGUUUUAGUACAGCUAGUCCUGCUCCUUUUCGAUGUUUUAAGUUUUUUUUUUUUUUGUUAUUUGUGAGUAUUGUUGUGAUUAUUUGGGAUUGACAGUAGGUAGUUGACUCCAAUUUUUUUAUUGCCAAGUUUUAUUGAUGAGAGUGUAUCAAGUGUGAUAUGGUUAAAUUUGAGAAUGUUUCUUUGGUGAAUAUUUGAAAUCUAGUGACUUUUGCGACUUUUAGUUAACUCUCUUAGGCAUUGUGAAUAUUUGCUUGGCAUUUUUCUUGUAAAUUAGUUCAAUUUUUAAUCUUAGUUCUCCAUAUUUGAGAAAAUGAAACGGGCUUGUGUUAUUUUGUACAAUCUCUAGUGCUAUUUUAUUGAUUGUUUGUGAAUAAAGUUGG